GCACUUGUCUGAAGCUUUGAUUGGAACUGGAGGAUCCACUUCCCAGGUGACUCUCAAAUGGCUCACAUACUGGUUGGGAUUGUUAGUUGAAGGCCCCAGUUCCUCCUUGGUAACCCUCUCUACAGAAUUGUUUGAAUGCCCUCAUGGCCUGGCAGCCUAGCUUCCACAAGAACAAACAGUCCAAGAUGCCAAGGCAGAAGCUGAAAUUCCUUUUAUAACCUAGCCCCAAAAGUUACCUUUGUCACGUCUACUGUACUCUAUUGGUUAUGCAUGUUCUGUUGGAGGAAGGAGACUAUGGAACGGCAUGAAUAUCAAAAGGCCAUGAUCACUGGAGCCAUCUUGGAGGCUGGCUAUCACAACACUCACCUCACUGCUAUCAGAGUGAUCCCUUAAACAUGAACCUGUCUAAUUAAAGUGGAAAUGGUGAAGAUACACUGUGGAUAGAGGAAUUGAGAAGAAUGGUGGUGAAGGCCUGAAAGAGAAUGGAAGAUAAAGCAGCAAUUUACUAUGGGCAUCAAACAGAUACGUCGAAUGACAUUGAGGGUUUCACUGAAGACCAGUGGAGAUAAACUGUGUAGGUGCCCUCAAGAUGUGUACAACCAUGGAACAGGAGACUAGAAGGACUCGUGGAUCCCAACCAUGGAUGAGGUUCCCCAGUAUGAGCCACGCUGAGAAACUGCUGGAGCACCAAAGUUUUACCUAUAGAUGCUUAAUGGACCAAUGCUUUCUGACUGAACUGCUCUCUACCCUGAAUACAAGAGACCCCAAUAGCCAUAAUUGCCCUGCAAUGGAUCAUGGAUCCCAGGCUGCUUCUGGACAGGCUCCAGACUCACUGGAGACAUCCUGACACAUAAUGCUUCGCCCAGCACAAUGCGAUGCCCUUUACCUAGUAAAAGGGUGAGUCCCGUAAAGGUGCUGCCUUCCCCCCAGAACAAACAAGGGAAAUGCAUCAGGAGAGCUCAGCUGCAGACAGAAUGCACAUCAUGAAGCAGGAGCCACCCUGGGAUUCCUCAGAUGAAAGCCAAUUUCAAUGAACAUUGUGUUUCAAAGCCCGCUUCCUCUUGCUCGUCAAAUGCCAACUACAUGAUGUUGCUUUCCAUGACUCAUAUUUGGAGGUUUUCAGGCACCCUAUGGAGCAGUCUGUCCCUCCUGGCUCAUCUGGGGCAAUAUGAGAGCAAAUGGGGCUAGAACAAAACUGGAUGAAAGGAGAAACUCUGGGGCUGCUGAAUUCACAUGCCGAUGGUGCUGGGGAAAGAGGCAGAGCCCUUCAUAACAGAGCUCAGUAAAGGUGUGUACCUGGCCCAGGAGUUGGAGAAGCUUCAGGAGGAUCCAUCCAGGGGAAGGUGGAACAGUUGCAGGCCCAGCUGCUGUCUCAUGCAAGAGGUGAUCCAGCAGCGAAGAGACAUAUAUAAGGAUAUGGUAGUACUAACAGGAAACCUAGAACUUUAGCUUUCAAGACAUGCUCCUGAUUCUCUUUGUGUAGAAGCAGCCUAGAUUGAAUCACUGCCUUCUUUGCCUGUUGAUUCAAUGGCAUGAGUCAAAGCGGUCAGGUGGCACUCCAGAUCAACCGAGUCAUCAUAUGUCCCCUGACAGAAGAACUCCUCCUUUUGGAACUAAGACCUCUUUACCACCCGAGCCUGAUGUCACAGGGACUGGAAGCAAUCGUUUGUUAGUGAACUGCUAGGGAUAAUAGUGAGAAGAUCCUGUCCUAUUUCCACCCCUUGAUCCCCGUACGCAUGAGUUCUGGCUAAGGAAGAAACAGAAAUAUAUGUUGGAUGCUGAUCUAGAGCAUACUUUGCAUCCUAAAAGACCAUACAUGAGUCUCCAAAAGGACAUUCCACCAUUCUAUCAAGCCAGCUGCUUCAGGGUGACGGGGAACACGAGAAGGAAUCAGAAAAGCUGAAGGAGGAUACAUGGGAAGAUGAAACAGCUGCAAGCCUGGCCACUGCCCACACCAAGGAAAGAAGACUGAUGUCAACUUUUGUCUCGUAAUACACGAAUCUAUGAGUUUCUCUCAGAAAAUGGUUGUCUGCCAACGCUAACUGGCCAGCUCUGACAGGAGGUGCGUGGCCCAGGAGGAGCCAUCAGGCCAGUUCUCUGGGAUACUGCUGUGUCUCCAGCUCUGCAGUUUGCUCUUCGUCACUCAGCGGCAGACGGAGAGGCAGACACGAGCCCCUUGUGAGCCCUCCUCCUUACCGUCAUCUCACAAUGCUCUGAAAUAAGGAGGCAAAUGGCUGAGGUCCCCUCAGUUGUAGAUGUGAUUGAGUUCUAUCUACCAGAAGCAUAUGCCUCCUGGAAGCCUGGUUCUAACACCUCCCACAAAAUCCUUCAAGCACUUUUUUCUGUUCCAAGGUUUGCUUAUGGGGGACCCAGUGAAGUGCUUCAGAGCCCUAGAGAUUUGCUGAGUCAUAUGAGGGGUCAGCAAACUUUUCCUGUAAAGGGUCAGAUAAUAAACAUUUUAAGCUUUGUAGACUGUA
Molecule: long non-coding RNA, 2477 nt
Filed under: Homo sapiens (human)
Lineage: Eukaryota; Metazoa; Chordata; Mammalia; Primates; Hominidae
Description: non-protein coding lnc-SGK1-3:2
Source: RNAcentral